UUCUUCAAAAAAAUAUUUUAAAAAAAUUAAUUAAUCAAAAGGAACUCGGCAAAUUUAGUUGCUUCGCCUGUUUAUCAAAAACAUGGCUCUCUGUCCAUAUAAAUAUAGAGAGUCGAGCCUGCCCAGUGAAUUUUUUUAACGGCCGCGGUACUCUGACCGUGCAAAGGUAGCAUAAUCAUUUGCCUUAUAAUUGAAGGCUAGUAUGAAUGGUUUGACGAGAGCAACGCUGUCUCUUUUUUAUUUUCAAGAACUUAACCUUUAGGUGAAGAGGCCUAAAUUUUAUUGAAGGACAAGAAGACCCUGUCGAGCUUAAAAGACAUCACAGAGGUCUAUAUAUCUUUAAAUAAAUUUUCUGUUAAGCUUUUUAGUUGGGGCGACUAAGGAACAAAAAAAGCUUCUUGUUAUUAACAAACAGUUAUGUUUAGAUCCGAUAAUAGUCGAUUAAAAAAAUUAGUUACCGCAGGGAUAACAGCAUAAUCUCUCUUGAGAGACCUAAUCGAAAGAGGGGGUUGUGACCUCGAUGUUGGACUAGAAUAUCCCAAAGAUGCAG
This 550-nucleotide ribosomal RNA is filed under the name Hua rotundata. Its description in RNAcentral is "partial large subunit ribosomal RNA". It matches the Rfam family "Bacterial large subunit ribosomal RNA", at positions 1664 to 2558 of the family's 2925-position model. Lineage: Eukaryota; Metazoa; Mollusca; Gastropoda; Semisulcospiridae. The record is from RNAcentral.